GUUGAAGCUUAUCCCUCUCCUCCUAGGCUCUUCAAGACUGAUUUUCAAACAUAGACUGGCCUGCAAUCCCAGUAUUUUAGGAGGGCAAGGUGGGCCGAUCAUUUGAGGCAAGGAGUUCGAGACCAGCCUGACCAAUAUGGCAAAACCCAGCCUAUAUUAAAUAUUUUUGUAAUUAGCCAAGCGUGGUGGCACACACCUAUAAUCCCAGCUACUUGGGAGGCUGAGGCAGGGAGAACUGCUUGAAACCAGGAGGCGGAGGUUGCAGUGAGCCAAGAUCGCACCACUGCACUCCAGCUUGGGCGACAAAGAGAGACGGUCUCAAACUAGAACUUAGCCCUCAGGAAAAGCAUUGAGCACCCCCCACCCAAACCAACCCAAGGAAUCACAUGGCAAUGGUUAUCAUCUGAUUUCGACAAAUAAAGUUCUGUUCUCCCCUCUGAACACAAUGGUAAACACCUGCCAUCAGCCCACAGAAACUCCCAGGACCCAGUAACACUGGACUAGCAAGAUCAAUGGGCCACGUAUGCAGGGUUCAGCAGCAGAAAGUCAUGGCACCGAGAAUGGUGUGUGCUCAAACCAGAUUCCUUGCUUUCGGGGUGAAGGGGCUUCCCGGGAAAAUCUAGUCCAGUGGGAUGGUUUCCACUUCCACCAUGAGGAGGAAAUGGGGGUUUCUGAGGGCACUGACAGGACCUGGGUCUCUGCCCCUUUGUCCUCUGUCCUGUUAUGGGAUGAGGGUGGGCUGAAGGCAGGUUUCCCCUACAUCUUCCGGGCAGGAGAGAUGGAGCUGACAAGUGGACGACGCUUUUUCCAAAACAUUCCCAUGUUUAUAACCUGUUAUCAACCUGUUUUCCCUGGAGAUCAGUGAAGCAGCAUCAUUGAUUCUCUUCCAUUAGGGACAACCCGGUGUUACGGGAGGAGACGACAUGCGAGCUGGUCUGAGUCAGUCACUUGUGUCUGGUCCCCAGCGUGCUCAUCUAUCAAAUGGGCGGCCCCACAGACCAGUGACUUUGAACCAGAGUUCCAUGGAGGUUGCCCAAGGACAGGGAGGGGAAGAGGGGAAGAGGGGAAGAGGAGGAAGAGGGAGGAAGAGGAGGAAGGGAGAGGAGGAAAGGGAGAAGGAAGGAAGAAGGGGAGAGGAAGGAAGGAAGAAGGGGAGAGGAAGGAAGGAAGAAGGGAAGGGGAAGGAAGAAGGGGAGGGAAGAGGAGGAGGGGAGGAGGAGGGAGGAGGUGGGGGAGGAGGGAGCACUGUGGAAGGAGGAGCAGAAGGGGGGUUCUCUGAGGAGGAGGGCCAAGUUUUUGAGGUGUCUUGGAGUCAGAGGUGGCAGUGGCUUGGGCUCUAGGCCCUCUGUUGCAUAGUUUUAGGCUUUAACUAUUUAUAUUUGUGGACUCUUUAAAAGAUUUAAUUUGAAGGAAACCGGAGUUGGGGAUACCUUGCUUCUAAAACACAAUUUCUCAAGCCUGAGACUAAGUGCUAGGCAUUGCUCAUUCUGUUACAAUCAUUUCCUCCUAUUUAAAAUCAGCCACACACCCCCAAUCUCUCUUCAGGGCAAACAUCUUUUCCGAGGAUCUCAAACAGCAGAGCGAAGCGCCCGUGACCCCAGCCGUAGGCACGAGGAGCUAAGAGGAGACGUGGAGAGGGCUGCUGAUGACAUGAGAGGUAGAGGCCCGGCACCUCCCUGCAGGGGCUGUGCUCCUCCAGGCCUAAAGGACAUCCUCGCCUCUGGGGUGAACAAGCAGCACAAACUAUCAACACUUAUUCCAAAAGAACAGGAAGAAAAUUCAAACGAAGUUAAUACAGUUACCCCAACACAACACUGCAGCAGCCCAGAAACAGGAGGGCCACUGAGCCUGAGGUGGGCGGUUCCAAUAGCAGGACAGCGACGUUGGCAUUAGGGCUUUUCGGCAAAGAAAAAAAAAAA
This is a long non-coding RNA of Macaca fascicularis (crab-eating macaque), 1919 nucleotides long. Lineage: Eukaryota; Metazoa; Chordata; Mammalia; Primates; Cercopithecidae. The record is from Ensembl.